UUUAUCAUAUAUAUCCUUUAUAAUAUUCUCUCAGUGUUAAUGUAAGUCCAAAUUUUCAAUUAUUUCUUUCACAGCUCGUGUCUCUACUGUUAUACCUAAAAAGUCAUUGUCAGCCGAUCAUGGUGACGCACACCUUUUGAUCCCAGGGCUCAGAAGGCAGAGGCAGGUGGAUUUCUGAGUUCAAGGCCAGUCUGGUCUACAGAGUGAGUUCCAGGAGAGCCAGGGCUACACAGAAAAACCCUGUCUCGAAAAACAAAAACAAAAACAAACAAGUCAUUGUCAUAUUAAAAUCACCUACGUUUUCUUCUGUUGUCUUAUAGGCAUCUUAUAGUUUUGCAUAUUACAUGUAAAGUCUACAUUUUAUUUGAGUCAGUUGUUAAAGGUAUAAGAUCUUGAAUUUCCUUUUCCUUUCCUUUUUCCGUUUCCUUUUUCCGUUUCCGUUUCCGUUUCCGUUUCCGUUUCCGUUUCCGUUUCCUUUCCUUUCCUUUCCUUUCCUUUCCUUUCCUUUCCUUUCCUUUCCUUUCCUUUCCUUUCCUUUCCUUUCCUUUCCUUUCCUUUCCUUUCCUUUCCUUUCCUUUCCUUUCCCUCCCUUCCCUCCCUUCCUUUUUCCUUCCUUUUUCCUUCCUUUCCUUCCUUUUUCCUUCCUUCCCUUUUUUCCCUUCCUUCCCUUCCUUUUUCCUUCCUUCCCUUCCCUUUCCUCCCCUCCCUCCUUCCCUCCCUCCCUCCCUCCCUCCCUCCCUUCUUCCUUCCUCCUUCCUUCCUUCCUUCCUUCCUUCCUUCCUUCCUUCCUUCCUUCCUUCCUUCCUUCCUUAUUAUGAUAGAGAUUGA
RNAcentral lists this long non-coding RNA (828 nucleotides) under Mus musculus (house mouse). Its description in RNAcentral is "long non-coding RNA chr14:49215166-49215994". The record is from RNAcentral. Lineage: Eukaryota; Metazoa; Chordata; Mammalia; Rodentia; Muridae.